This 583-nucleotide ribosomal RNA is filed under the name Aureobasidium pullulans. RNAcentral describes it as "eukaryotic LSU rRNA". It matches the Rfam family "Eukaryotic large subunit ribosomal RNA", at positions 70 to 664 of the family's 3401-position model. The record is from RNAcentral. Lineage: Eukaryota; Fungi; Ascomycota; Dothideomycetes; Dothideales; Saccotheciaceae.
CGGUAUUGCCCUAGUACGGCGAGUGAAGCGGCAACAGCUCAAAUUUGAAAGCUAGCCUUCGGGUUCGCAUUGUAAUUUGUAGAGGAUGAUUUGGGGAAGCCGCCUGUCUAAGUUCCUUGGAACAGGACGUCAUAGAGGGUGAGAAUCCCGUAUGUGACAGGAAAUGGCACCCUAUGUAAAUCUCCUUCGACGAGUCGAGUUGUUUGGGAAUGCAGCUCUAAAUGGGAGGUAAAUUUCUUCUAAAGCUAAAUAUUGGCGAGAGACCGAUAGCGCACAAGUAGAGUGAUCGAAAGAUGAAAAGCACUUUGGAAAGAGAGUUAAAAAGCACGUGAAAUUGUUGAAAGGGAAGCGCUUGCAAUCAGACUUGUUUAAACUGUUCGGCCGGUCUUCUGACCGGUUUACUCAGUUUGGACAGGCCAGCAUCAGUUUCGGCGGCCGGAUAAAGGCUCUGGGAAUGUGGCCUCCACUUCGGUGGAGGUGUUAUAGCCCAGGGUGUAAUACGGCCAGCCGGGACUGAGGUCCGCGCUUCGGCUAGGAUGCUGGCGUAAUGGUUGUAAGCGACCCGUCUGAAACCGGGAAAACA